UGUAAGGAGGCGUCCGGUGACAAACCGGAGGAAAGGGGGGGAAGACGUCAAGUCAUCAUGGCCCUUACGGCCAGGGCUACACACGUGCUACAAUGGUCGGUACAAAGGGUUGACAAGCCGCGAGGUGGAGCUAAUCCCAUAAAACCGAUCGUAGCGCGGAUCGCAGUCUGCAACUCGACUGCGUGAAGGUCCGGAAUCGCUAGUAAAUCGUAAAUCAAGAAAUUCCUUGGGGUCCCG
This 237-nucleotide ribosomal RNA is filed under the name Ectopseudomonas oleovorans. RNAcentral's name for it is "Pseudomonas oleovorans partial 16S ribosomal RNA". It matches the Rfam family "Bacterial small subunit ribosomal RNA", at positions 1139 to 1378 of the family's 1533-position model. Lineage: Bacteria; Pseudomonadati; Pseudomonadota; Gammaproteobacteria; Pseudomonadales; Pseudomonadaceae. The record is from RNAcentral.